GGGGCUGCAUUGGUUUCGACGUGGGUUCGGACGCGGUGUGGUGCAUGUCGAGCUGAGUGUGCUCGUAAAACUGAUUCAAACAAACUAACUGCAAACGACGAACGUUUCGCACUCGCUGCUUAAUUGCCAGUGAGCUUUACAACAGCAGGCCGAUGGGCUGGGCAAGGGGUGUUUAGCGCAAGUUGAACGCUCCCGGCUGUAAAGAUAAUUUCAUCGGCUGGCUCC
RNAcentral lists this transfer-messenger RNA (225 nucleotides) under Polaromonas sp. RNAcentral's name for it is "partial transfer-messenger RNA". It matches the Rfam family "transfer-messenger RNA", at positions 1 to 257 of the family's 374-position model. Rfam says of the family: Bacterial tmRNA, also known as 10Sa RNA or SsrA, is named for its dual tRNA and mRNA-like properties. The record is from RNAcentral. Lineage: Bacteria; Pseudomonadati; Pseudomonadota; Betaproteobacteria; Burkholderiales; Comamonadaceae.